CCUGUGACACAGUUUAACGGCCGCGGUAUACUGACCGUGCAAAGGUAGCGUAAUCACUUGUCUUUUAAAUGGAGACCUGUAUGAAUGGCAUAACGAGGGCUAAACUGUCUCCUCUCCUCUGUCAAUGAAAUUAAUCUCCCCGUGCAGAAGCGGGGAUAUCGUUAUAAGACGAGAAGACCCCAUGGAGCUUUAGGCACCUAGAAAACUCAUAUAGAAUAACUACUAUACUAGAAAGAAAUUGUCUUUUUCUACUGCUUUUGGUUGGGGCGACCAAGGAGGAAAAACAAGCCUCCAUGUGGAAUGAGAGUAUUUCUCUUACAGCUAUGGCUUACCUGUCUACGCAACAGUAUCUGACUUUAGUGAUCCGGCUUAAAGGCCGAUCAGCGAACCGAGUUACCCUGGGGAUAACAGCGCAAUCCUUUCCAAGAGUUCUUAUCGACGAAGGGGUUUACGACCUCGAUGUUGGAUCAGGACAUCCUGAUGGUGUAGCCGCUAUUAAGGGUUCGUUUGUUCAACGAUUAAAGUCCUACGUGAUCUGAGUU
This 542-nucleotide ribosomal RNA is filed under the name Sternoptyx pseudobscura (highlight hatchetfish). RNAcentral's name for it is "partial 16S ribosomal RNA". It matches the Rfam family "Bacterial large subunit ribosomal RNA", at positions 1911 to 2611 of the family's 2925-position model. Lineage: Eukaryota; Metazoa; Chordata; Actinopteri; Stomiiformes; Sternoptychidae. The record is from RNAcentral.